GCCACCCGAUUUUGGGGGGUGGCUAGUGCCCGCCAGAGGACUAUCAAACUCCAGUCAGUAAACGUUGCAGUCUGAAAAAAAUAUUAAAUAAACUAAAACUUUCAACAACGGAUCUCUUGGUUCUGGCAUCGAUGAAGAACGCAGCGAAAUGCGAUAAGUAAUGUGAAUUGCAGAAUUCAGUGAAUCAUCGAAUCUUUGAACGCACAUUGCGCCCCUUGGUAUUCCGGGGGGCAUGCCUGUUAGAGCGUCAUUUCAACCCUCAAGCUCUGCUUGGUAUUGGGCACCGUCCUUUGCGGGCGCGCCUCAAAGACCUCGGCGGUGGCGUCUUGCCUCAAGCGUAGUAGAAUACACCUCGCUUCGGACGUAAGGCGUCGCCCGCCGGACGAACCUUCUGAACUUUUCUCAAGGUUGACCUCGGAUCAGUAGGG
RNAcentral lists this ribosomal RNA (428 nucleotides) under Macrophomina phaseolina. RNAcentral's name for it is "eukaryotic LSU rRNA". The stretch from base 97 to 250 matches the Rfam family "5.8S ribosomal RNA". The record is from RNAcentral. Lineage: Eukaryota; Fungi; Ascomycota; Dothideomycetes; Botryosphaeriales; Botryosphaeriaceae.